RNAcentral lists this ribosomal RNA (460 nucleotides) under uncultured bacterium. RNAcentral's name for it is "partial 16S ribosomal RNA". It matches the Rfam family "Bacterial small subunit ribosomal RNA", at positions 338 to 795 of the family's 1533-position model. The record is from RNAcentral.
CCUACGUGAGGCAGCAGUGAGGAAUAUUGGUCAAUGGGCGCGAGCCUGAACCAGCCAAGUAGCGUGAAGGAUGACUGCCCUACGGGUUGUAAACUUCUUUUAUAAAGGAAUAAAGUGAGGCACGUGUGCCUUUUUGUAUGUACUUUAUGAAUAAGGAUCGGCUAACUCCGUGCCAGCAGCCGCGGUAAUACGGAGGAUACGAGCGUUUUCCGGGGUUAUUGGGUUUAAAGGGAGCGUAGAUGGGUUGUUAAGUCAGUUGUGAAAGUUUGCGGCUCAACCGUAAAAUUGCAAUUGAUACUGGCAGUCUUGAGUACAGUUGAGGUAGGCUGAAUUCGUGGUGUAGCGGUGAAAUGCUUAGAUAUCACGAAGAACUCCGAUUGCGAAGGCAGCUUACUAAACUGCCACUGACAUUGAUGCUCGAAAGUGUGGGUAUCAAACAGGAUUAGAUACCCGGGUAGUC